RNAcentral lists this ribosomal RNA (164 nucleotides) under uncultured bacterium. RNAcentral describes it as "partial 16S ribosomal RNA". It matches the Rfam family "Bacterial small subunit ribosomal RNA", at positions 355 to 511 of the family's 1533-position model. The record is from RNAcentral.
UAGGGAAUCUUCCACAAUGGACGAAAGUCUGAUGGAGCAACGCCGCGUGAGUGAAGAAGGGUUUCGGCUCGUAAAACUCUGUUGUUAAAGAAGAACGUGGGUAAGAGUAACUGUUUACCCAGUGACGGUAUUUAACCAGAAAGCCACGGCUAACUACGUGCUAG